CUCGUCAAUCGUCAAGUUCUUGCCGGUAAAAACGACGAUCGGCACGGUUGCCAACGCUGGAUCGGCAUGCAGCUUCUUUAGCAGCUCAAAGCCGGUCAUGUCGGGUAGUCGCAGAUCGAGCACGACGCAAUCGAAGUGCUGCUCCCGCAUGGCUUGUAGCGCCGUUUCUCCACUCGGCGCGGUUACAAGCUCGAUGUCGUUAUAACCCAGCAGUUCUACAAUGGACUGCCGUUCGAUAUCGUUGUCUUCA
Molecule: unclassified non-coding RNA, 250 nt
Filed under: Hevea brasiliensis (rubber tree)
Lineage: Eukaryota; Viridiplantae; Streptophyta; Magnoliopsida; Malpighiales; Euphorbiaceae
Source: RNAcentral